GCGGGUGUGGCUAAAUUGGUAGAAGCGCUGGAUUUAGAUUCCAGUUCCAUAGGGAGUGUCGGUUCGAGUCCGACCACCCGCACCA
RNAcentral lists this transfer RNA (85 nucleotides) under uncultured Paraburkholderia sp. Its description in RNAcentral is "tRNA-Leu-TAG". It matches the Rfam family "tRNA". Rfam says of the family: Transfer RNA (tRNA) molecules are approximately 80 nucleotides in length. Their secondary structure includes four short double-helical elements and three loops (D, anti-codon, and T loops). The record is from RNAcentral. Lineage: Bacteria; Pseudomonadati; Pseudomonadota; Betaproteobacteria; Burkholderiales; Burkholderiaceae.